AGCAGCCGCGGUAAUUCCAGCUCCAAUAGCGUAUAUUAAAGUUGUUGCAGUUAAAAAGCUCGUAGUUGAAUUUCGGGGUCUGUCCGUCGGUCGGGCUUCACGGUCCGUACUGGUGUGAUGGGUUCCUACCUUCUGAAUAACCGGCAUGCCAUUCAGUUGGUGCGCCGGGGAAGCAGAGCUAUUACCUUGAAAAAAUUAGAGUGCUUAAAGCAGGCUAGUGCUUGAAUAGAUUAGCAUGGAAUAAUAAAAUAGGACGGCAUGGUUCUAUUUUGUUGGUUUCUAGGAUCACCGUAAUGAUUAAUAGGGAUAGUUGGGGGCAUUAGUAUUCAAUUGUCAGAGGUGAAAUUCUUGGAUUUAUUGAAGACUAACUUCUGCGAAAGCAUUUGCCAAGGAUGUUUUCAUUAAUCAAGAACGAAAGUUAGGGGAUCGAAGACGAUCAGAUACCGUCGUAGUCUUAACCAU
Molecule: unclassified non-coding RNA, 462 nt
Filed under: uncultured Glomus
Lineage: Eukaryota; Fungi; Glomeromycota; Glomeromycetes; Glomerales; Glomeraceae
Description: SSU rRNA
Rfam family: Eukaryotic small subunit ribosomal RNA
Source: RNAcentral